AUGAAAACCUGCCUCUAUGAUCUUAUAAAAGACCAUUCCCUAGAUUUCCUAUGUCUACAGGAGACUAUGAAGAAGUUCUCUUCUAGUUUUCUUAGAAGUAUCGAUCCCUAUAAAACCCUGGAGUGGAAUUGGAUUCCCUCCAUUGGUAAAGCUGGAGGCAUGUUGUGUGGAAUUAAAAAACAAAAACUGAAGACUGUUUCUUGGUCUAUGGGUAAAUAUAUUUUACAAGUUAUUGUUUUUUACGUGGAGUAAAAAUGUGUGUGGGCUUUGCUAAAUGUUUACGGUGCUGCUCAUGAUGAAUACAAAAAGGAAUUCCUCUCCGAACUUGCUAGCUUUUGUAGCCAUUUAUCCAUGCCUUAUAUAGUUGGUGGAGAUUUUAAUAUCUUAAGGCACUGUGGAGAAAAUAAAAUAAAAAGAGAUGGCAUCUCGUAUGUUGACAGGUUUAAUGUUAUUAUUAAUACCAUGGGCCUGCGUGAGAUUUAUAUUGAAGGGGGUUUAUUUACCUGGUCUAAUAAUCAGGCCCACCCCACUCUAGAAAAAUUGGAUAGAGUCCUUAUGAUUGAUGAUUGGGAGGAUAUUUUUCCUUUGGCCACUGUUAGAAAAUUGGUUAGAGACAUCCCUAACCACAAUCCUCUGCUUCUGUCCACCAAUAGUGCUUGCACCUAG
Molecule: ribosomal RNA, 666 nt
Filed under: Triticum aestivum (bread wheat)
Lineage: Eukaryota; Viridiplantae; Streptophyta; Magnoliopsida; Poales; Poaceae
Description: partial small subunit ribosomal RNA
Source: RNAcentral